Oncorhynchus keta (chum salmon) is the source of this 796-nucleotide long non-coding RNA. RefSeq lists it as uncharacterized. The record is from RefSeq and is a predicted model, not a curated record. The transcript is spliced from 3 exons. NCBI's taxonomy places the organism in Eukaryota, Metazoa, Chordata, Actinopteri, Salmoniformes, Salmonidae.
AGAAGGUGGGAGGAUGCAGAUGGUUCAUACCGAGGUUCUAACUGAUGGGAGAGCAGAGAUAAAGGAGAGAAGAGAAGGUGGGAGGAUGCAGAUGGUUCAUACCGAGGUUCUAACUGAUGGGAGAGCAGAGAUAAAGGAGAGAAGAGAAGGUGGGAGGAUGCAGAUGGUUCAUACCGAGGUUCUAACUGACGGGAGAGCAGAGAUAAAGGAGAGAAGAAAAAUGUGGAUCCUUGAAAGCAGGAGGCCACACCCCUCUCCCAUCACUCCCCUCUCUCCACCCCUCUCUCCACCCCUCUCCCAUCACUCCCCUCUCUCCACCCCUCUCCCAUCACUCCCCUCUCUCUUUCUAUUCCUUCUAUCUCCAUCUCUCCCUCUGUGGCAGGUGCUGUGUUAAGCCUAUUCACUGGGAGGGUGGCGUCUGUGAAAGGGAUGCAUUUGUCACACAUAAAACAAACACAAGCGCCUCAGAAUACUGAUGAGUGACACUGUUCUACAGGGUGACUGUACAGACAGCCUGUGAAUGGCUGUCCAUUUCCAUCCUUCAGCUGCUCUUUUCACCGUCUGGAGAAUCAGCGUGGAAUACACAUCACAGGGGGUAUAUGGAUGAUGAGGCACAGAUAAACACUGGACCAUAGAGAUGGCUGGGAUUCAAUGCCACUGACAUUCUGUUGGGGGUUUAUGAAUUUAAUUAAUGCCAAUAGAUAGUGAUGUCCCAACAACACCUAAUCAAUAAUGACAAGAUACGCAUUGGAGCACAUUGGAGGGUGUGGUAGUGAAUGGGGCAUAUGAUCAAAUG